Salmo salar (Atlantic salmon) is the source of this 2815-nucleotide non-coding RNA. The record is from RefSeq and is a predicted model, not a curated record. NCBI's taxonomy places the organism in Eukaryota, Metazoa, Chordata, Actinopteri, Salmoniformes, Salmonidae.
CUCUGAGCGCAUGCCAUGCACGCACGCACACCAAGCGGUCGGGUUGGAAUGGAAAAGCACACUGAAACUGUCAAACCUUUGCACGCCAUGCAUACACGAUAGCAAAGCUGUCACUUUGCAAGUAGAAUUCAAUUAAUUAACUUUUUUUUUUUAUGCCUACAUUUGUGCUUGUUUUGCAUUUUGCAGAGGCAUUUUAAACAAUCAUGUUUGCCUAUAAGAACGUUCUGCAGUGUCAGCUAUGAUGCACACAUUGAUAUGUAAUAUGUUGACAUAAGCAUACCUGUUCAGUCAACUGUAAACCUAUUUGCAAUUACCAAGAACAAGAUAUAAUGUGUUUUAGAGCAGGCAGCAGGCAAUGCAUUCAGAACGCAAAAUGUGUUAUGAGUGACUUCCAUAUAUGAACGUUUGACUGGGCCUACAGAGGAAACAACUCAGAGACCCAAUGAUAGUCAGGAAGGAGAGACAUACAAUAUGUAUCUUCAUGAAACGGAAACAGGAAGUGUGCUUCAGCCAACAUAUCAGUAGAAGAAUAGAGUAUUGGAAGAACGGUGUACGCUACUGGUGUAGGAGUCAGGUGCAGGAGAGCAGAGAGCAGAGGCUUUAUUUAGGCAGAGGCAAUUAAACAGACAGACGCCACUGCGUCAAAACCUCCAGCCAAAGGUAAAAAGUGCAAGGCGCGAAACAGUCACAAAAAUAAGCAAAUGUUUAACAAUAAACAUCCUUUGUGAAAUACCACGGAAAUACAGAGGAAAACCCAGCUUGGCGCGUAACACGAAACACGACAAAAACUAUAUCACACAAAGACAUGGGGGGGAACAGAGGAAUAAAUACAUGCAGUGUGAUUAGGGAAUGUAAACCAGGUGUGCAGGGAACAAGACAAAACAACUGGAUACAUGAAAAAUGGAGCGGCGAUAGCUAGAAAGCCGGUGACGUCGACCGCCAAACGCCGCCCGAACAAGGAGAGGAGCCGACUUUGGCGGAAGUCGUGACAAUGUGUGAGUUGAGGGGGGGGGAGUAUUGUCUGUAGCUUGAUGAGGAAAUAAAACAAUUUAAUCAAUUUUAGAAUAAGGCUGUAACUUCACAAAAUGUGAAAAAAUUCAAGGGGUCUGAAUAAUUUCUGAAUGCACUGUAUAUGUACUGCAACUAGCUAUUUGAGGUAACAGAAUGUGUGAGUUGGGGGGAGGGGAGUUAUACAGGAUAUGCUAGUUAUUUUAAGGUCAUUGUGAAUGAUCUGUAUGCCGUUAGAUAAGGAAACUCUAUUAGCUACAGUGCCUUCAGAAACUAUUCAUACCCCUUGACUUAUUCAACAUUUUGUGGUGUUACAGCCUGAAUUCAAAAUUGAUUCUCACCCAUCUAUGCAUUUAUUUGCCAUGUCUUCAAUUUAAGCCUACUAGAAAGUGUGUGCCCUCAGGCCUGGAGGGAAGCUAAAGUCAUUCCGCUAUCCAAGAAUAGUAAAGUCCCCUUUACUGUCUCAAAUAGCUGACCAAUCAGCCUGUUACCAACUCUUUGUGAACUUCUGGAAAAAAUGGUGUUUGACCAGAUACAAUGCUAUUUCACAGUAAACAAAUUGACAACAGACUUUCAGCACGCUUAUAAGGGAAGGACACUCAACAAGCACAGCACUUACACAAAUGACUGAUGAUUGGCUGAGAGAAAUUGAUGAUAAAAUGAUUGUGGGGGCUGUCUUGUUAGAAUUCAGUUCAGCUUUUGACAUUCUUGAUCGUAGUCUGCUGCUUGAAAAACGUAUGUAUUAUGGCUUUACACCCCCUACUAUAAUGCGGAUAAAGAGUUACUUGUCUAAGAGAACACAGAGGGUGUUCUUUAAUGGAAGCCUCUCAAACAUAAUCCAGAUAGAAUCAGGAAUUCCCCAGGGUAGCUGUUUAGGCGCCUUGCUUUUUUUCAAUUUUUACUUAAAGACAUGCCACUGACUUUGAGUAAAGCCAGAGUCUCUAUGUAUGCGGAUGACUCAACAUUAUACACAUCAGCUACUACAGUGACUGAAAUGGCAGCAACACUUAAAGAGUUGCAGUUCGUUUCAGAGUGGAUGGUAAGGAAUAAGUUUGCCCAAAAUAUUUCUAAAACUAAAAGCAUUGUAUUUGGGACAAAACAAUCACUAAACCCUAAACCACAACUAAAUCUUGUAAUAAAUAAUGUGGAAAUUGAGCACGUUGAGAUAACUAAACUGCUUGGAGUAACCCUGGAUUGUAAACUGUCAUGGUCAAAACACAUUGAUACAAUAGUAGCUGAGAUGGGGAGAAGUCUGUCCAUAAUAAAGCGCUGCUCUAUCAACAAGGCAGGUCCUACAGGCCCUAGUUUUGUCGCACCUUGACUACUAUUCAGUUGUGUGGUCAGGUGCCUCAAAAAAGGACUUAGGAAAAUUGUAAUUGGCCCAGAACAGGGCAGCACGGCUGGUCCUUGGAUGUACACAGAGCUAACAUAAUAUUCAUGUCAAUCUCUACUGGCUCAAAGUGGAGGAGAGAUUGACUUCGUCACUACUUUUAUUUAUGAGAGGUGUUGACAUGUUGAAUGCAUCAAGCUAUCUGUCUAAACUACUGGCACACAGGUCGGAAUCCCAUGCAUACCCCUCAGGGGGCUAGGGUCAGUCUGUUAUAUCUGUAGUAUUUAUCCUGUCUUAUCUGGUGUCCUAUGGGAAUUUAAGUAUGUUCUCUCUAACUCUCUCUCUUUCUCUCUUUUUCUCUCUUUCUUUCUCUCUUUCUUUCUCUCUUUCUUCCUCUCUUUCUUUGUUUCUUUCUUUCUCUCUCUCUCUCUCUGAGGACCUGAGCCCUAGGAUCAUGCCUCAGGACUACUUGGCCUG